CCUGGCUCAGGAUGAACGCUGGCGGCGUGCCUAACACAUGCAAGUCGAGCGAGAAGAUGAGUGCUUGCACUCUGAUUCUAGCGGCGGACGGGUGAGUAACGCGUGGGCAACCUGCCCUGUGCAGGGGGAUAACACAUCGAAAGAUGUGCUAAUACCCCAUAAGACUACAGCAUCACAUGAUGAAGUAGUCAAAACUCUGGUGGCACAGGAUGGGCCCGCGUCUGAUUAGCUAGUUGGUAGGGUAACGGCCUACCAAGGCGACGAUCAGUAGCCGACCUGAGAGGGUGAUCGGCCACACUGGAACUGAGACACGGUCCAGACUCCUACGGGAGGCAGCAGUGGGGAAUAUUGCACAAUGGGGGAAACCCUGAUGCAGCAACGCCGCGUGAGCGAAGAAGGCCUUCGGGUCGUAAAGCUCUGUCCUAAGGGAAGAAUAAUGACGGUACCUUAGGAGGAAGCCCCGGCUAACUACGUGCCAGCAGCCGCGGUAAUACGUAGGGGGCAAGCGUUAUCCGGAAUCACUGGGCGUAAAGGGUGCGUAGGCGGCCGAUCAAGCCAGGGGUGAAAGGCUACGGCUCAACCGUAGUAAGCCUUUGGAACUGAUUGGCUUGAGUGCAGGAGAGGAGAGUGGAAUUCCUAGUGUAGCGGUGAAAUGCGUAGAUAUUAGGAGGAACACCAGUGGCGAAGGCGACUCUCUGGACUGUAACUGACGCUGAGGCACGAAAGCGUGGGGAGCAAACAGGAUUAGAUACCCUGGUAGUCCACGCCGUAAACGAUGAGUGCUAGGUGUCGGCGGUUCACACCGUCGGUGCCGGAGUUAACGCAUUAAGCACUCCGCCUGGGGAGUACGGUCGCAAGACUGAAACUCAAAGACAUUGACGGGGACCCGCACAAGCAGCGGAGCAUGUGGUUUACUUCGAAGCAACGCGAAGAACCUUACCACGACUUGACAUCCCUGUGAUACUUCCUUAACCGGAACGUUCCUUCGGGACACCCGAGACAGGUGGUGCAUGGUUGUCGGUCAGCUCGUGUCGUGAGAUGUUGGGUUAAGUCCCGGAACGAAGCCAAGCCCUAAUUUUAGUUGGCA
Molecule: ribosomal RNA, 1087 nt
Filed under: uncultured organism
Description: bacterial SSU rRNA
Rfam family: Bacterial small subunit ribosomal RNA
Source: RNAcentral